UAUAAAUCCCUCUCUCUCUCUUCUCCUUUUUUUUCACCUGACACAAACACCACUUAUUCUUCUUCUUUCUCUUUUUCCUCUUCCUCUUCUUCAUAUUACCCUCGUUUUGCUUCUGCCGGAUUCCCUCUCCUCCAAUCAUUUGGACCGAAACACAUCACACCCAUUUGCAAAAGAUCAAAUUUUUGCACCUUCAAAGGCUCAAACACUCUGAGAAGAAGGAAAAGUUCGUACCUUGGAGCUACCAACAAAAAAAAUGACCAUAGGUGGGGAUAGUUUGCUUCAGGUUGUUGAGGAAGAAGAAGAUUCUCCUCCUGAGUCUGCUUUGCUUGAUCCUGAGAACAAUUCUAGGCCAAGAAGAAUCGCACUUUUCGUUGGGCCUUCUCCAUUUGCCUACACUCAUAUGAAGAGGAAAUCAUCAAGAAUUGGAGAUCUGCUUCAAAGAAGGCAGCAAACUUAGGUGGAUUUCAUUAUACAUCCAAAUACCGAUCAGUUGAAGACAUAUGCAUCUACAAAAGUCACCGGUUCGCCAAUGCCUUUUUUGUUUUCUUCUUCUAAGAGGCUUUGUUCUGUUUCCAUAGGUUAUAGAAGUGUAGAUUAAAUCAUUUCGAUUCUCUAAUCACUAAUCUUCCAAUAAAGGAUUUUUUUUGCAUUAAAAACUAUCAUUUUUGCAUUAGAAGAAGACAUGAUGAUAGUAUAAACAAGUCCAUUUAAAUCAUCUUCAUC
Molecule: long non-coding RNA, 723 nt
Organism: Arachis stenosperma
Lineage: Eukaryota; Viridiplantae; Streptophyta; Magnoliopsida; Fabales; Fabaceae
Exons: 3
Source: RefSeq, a predicted model, not a curated record